This 71-nucleotide transfer RNA is filed under the name Spirochaetota bacterium. RNAcentral's name for it is "Spirochaetes bacterium tRNA-Gln". It matches the Rfam family "tRNA". From Rfam's summary of the family: Transfer RNA (tRNA) molecules are approximately 80 nucleotides in length. The record is from RNAcentral. Lineage: Bacteria; Pseudomonadati; Spirochaetota.
UGGGGAAUCGUCUAAUGGUAGGACUGCAGUCUUUGAAGCUGCUUGUGGGGGUUCGAAUCCCUCUUCCCCAG